This 226-nucleotide long non-coding RNA is filed under the name Elaeis guineensis (African oil palm). Its description in RNAcentral is "long non-coding RNA (EGUI_LNC072908)". Lineage: Eukaryota; Viridiplantae; Streptophyta; Magnoliopsida; Arecales; Arecaceae. The record is from RNAcentral.
CUCAUUUUCCAUAGCCUUUAAAUCCCAACGUUUGGCUGGCAAUCGUCGGAUUUCUUUGAGGAAAGAUGUCCCCUAUUUUGGUUGUUUCUGCCCCUCUUUUUCUUUGGUUUUCUGACGUCGGUGGUCACCGCCGAUCACUAGUCUAGGUUUCUUGGGAUGCGCCAUCAUAGCCCUGACAGCCACCGGCCACCACCAUAUCGGACAGGGCUUCCGGUCCAAAGAACAA